RNAcentral lists this ribosomal RNA (27 nucleotides) under Centropristis striata (black sea bass). RNAcentral's name for it is "partial large subunit ribosomal RNA". The record is from RNAcentral. Lineage: Eukaryota; Metazoa; Chordata; Actinopteri; Perciformes; Serranidae.
CGACUACGACCUCAGAUCAGACGAGAC